CUUGAGUGAACGCUUCCACGUAAGCCAGCCAAUAACUCGUUUAUAUCUUAUCAAACAUCAACAAUAGUAAUGAAUUAGACUAAGGCAACACACAUCGAAAUCAUAGGGCAUACUGAAUGCUAUAUAUGCAACCACUGGGACCAAAUAAGAGAAAAUGUUUUAUGAAAAUGAGUACAAAGGGACUAAGGCACACCAUCGUUGGGUUAUAAGGGCAGCUCUAGAUGAUUCGCUACAAACAUACGUUUACUAGUGAGGCAGCUUAAUAAUCCGCUGAUUACUCAUCCCCUAUAAAGAGUUUACGAGAUUUUACAAGUAUUCUACCAAUAAGUAUUACAAUGCUUCAAAUAAGGACAUUCCUUUCCUAUAACUCUUUUAUUAUAUUUUUUGAAACUUUUCUCUUUUAUUAUUUCAUCUUUAUAUGUAUAUAUGUCAUAAAUAGAUAUUUUAUUAUUAUUAUUUAUGCCUAACUAUUUUUUUUGAAUUUAAGUAUUUAUUUAUUUUUACUACAUAAGUUUCCUACAUUUAUAUUUUUUUACAACCAAAAAUUUUAUUUUAUAAUUAUUAUUUAUACAUAUAUUUUUUCCUAAUCUAACCCUUUUUUGUUUAUACUGAAUUUCUUUCCUAUUUUUCUUGUUUACCUAACCUAUAUUUAUGACUAAAUAUAUUUAUUUAUUCUAUAUUUUCUUUCAUUUAAAUAUAUUUCUUUAUAACUAAAUAUUUCCCAUUUUUGUACUUAAAUAUUUUUUGCUUGUAACUAAAUAUUUAACUACUUUCUACAUUUUCUUACCUAAAUAUGUAUGUAUAUAUAUUAUAUCUAAAUAUUUAUUUAUUAAUAUUAUUUUAAUUUUUAUCAAUCUAUAAUUUUUUGCUUCUCUUCUUUCAAUAUUCAUACCACAAAAAAUAAACAUCUUUUUUUUAUAUAUUUUUUACCUCAUCGUAAUCUCAUAAAAACACUUACUUUUAUUUGUCUAUUUUUUUAGCUAUAUUAAGCUCAACUUCAUGUAAUAUUCACCAAAAAUCACAAUGAUCCAUAUUCACAAAGCAAACCCAAAAUAAAAGGACAUAAACCAUACCUUGUCUGAUCUUAAAUUGAUUUAAGUCAGAUGGACUAUAAAGGCUUGCAAGCCCAUGUCAACUUUCUCCACGCAAGUCCACACCGACACACUAUCAUUUUUUUUUUUGUAGCUCCUUUUCCUCUCAAAACCAUGUCCAUUGGACUAAAACCC
This 1226-nucleotide long non-coding RNA is filed under the name Theobroma cacao (cacao). RNAcentral's name for it is "long non-coding RNA (TCAC_LNC005007)". The record is from RNAcentral. Lineage: Eukaryota; Viridiplantae; Streptophyta; Magnoliopsida; Malvales; Malvaceae.